AACUGAGCUCUGCUGCUGUGCAAGCACAGCCCGGCCAGGUUAUGUGCUCUGUCUGCCUUUAACCACCUGCCCUGAAUCUCAGCUGGUGCACUCAGUGACUGCUAUCGCUGGCUGUGAAAGAACUCCUGUUCUGGGCUCAGUAUAUAGAAGCAAACCCCAACAGCACACAGAGGCAACAUUCCUGUAUGACACCCCCAUCAUCAAGCCCAGAUGCUCUGGUGGAGUGCAGAUGUCCCACAGAGGUCCAAUCUAAUGCACUGAAGUGACAGAGAAUCUGCUGCAUCCUCAGCAAUGAUAAAUAGCAGAUACCCGAGCUGCCUGGCAGAGGAGCAGACAACUCUCCUGGGACUGACUGCAUUGUCAAUGUUCCUUGACGGGUCAUUGGGGUUUGGGUUCUGGUUAACAUCCCGCCCUCUUCAAGCAUCUCCUCUGGCUGCAGAGCCACUCCCUGGGCCUUCUCAGUUACCGCUGUCAUCUCUGGGGUCUUUAAUUGUGCCUGAUGGGGUAUCAGCUUCAAUGCUAAUGUGCAUGGGUAAGAGGAUGAGGAAAGCUACUUUGCGAGGAUUCUCCUUUUGCUGCUCUGCAAUGAAACAGAGCAGAAAGAAGCAAUCUGAGUCCGGCCAAGGUUUUCCUUAAAUACCAACCUUGCUAUGUGGG
Molecule: long non-coding RNA, 657 nt
Organism: Centrocercus urophasianus (Greater sage-grouse)
Lineage: Eukaryota; Metazoa; Chordata; Aves; Galliformes; Phasianidae
Exons: 6
Source: RefSeq, a predicted model, not a curated record